UCAUCACGUAUAUACUAUUUGCCAGGGA
This 28-nucleotide small RNA is filed under the name Bombyx mori (domestic silkworm). RNAcentral describes it as "ovarian small RNA-26025". The record is from RNAcentral. Lineage: Eukaryota; Metazoa; Arthropoda; Insecta; Lepidoptera; Bombycidae.